GGCGCGCUCGCUGGUGGGCAGCCCCCACGCCUGCAGCGCGCGGUAGGCCUCGGACUGCGAGAGCGGCUCGAAGCCGCGGCGCGCACC
RNAcentral lists this transfer RNA (87 nucleotides) under Nocardioides marinisabuli. RNAcentral's name for it is "tRNA-Cys(gca)". The record is from RNAcentral. Lineage: Bacteria; Bacillati; Actinomycetota; Actinomycetes; Propionibacteriales; Nocardioidaceae.